RNAcentral lists this ribosomal RNA (351 nucleotides) under uncultured bacterium. RNAcentral describes it as "bacterial SSU rRNA". It matches the Rfam family "Bacterial small subunit ribosomal RNA", at positions 72 to 422 of the family's 1533-position model. The record is from RNAcentral.
AGGCCUCUUCGGAGGUACUUCAGUGGCGGACGGGUGAGUAACACGUAGGUGACCUACCCCGAAGUGGGGAAUAACAGUCCGAAAGGAUUGCUAAUACCCCAUGUGAUCGAUGAGGUUAGAGUCUUGUCGAUUAAAGCAGUAAUGUGCUUCGGGAGGGGCCUGCGCCCCAUCAGCUAGUUGGUAGGGUAAUGGCCUACCAAGGCUACAACGGGUAGGGGGCCUGAGAGGGUGACCCCCCACAUUGGCACUGACACACGGGCCAAACUCCUACGGGAGGCAGCAGUGAGGAAUAUUGCUCAAUGGGCGAAAGCCUGAAGCAGCAACGCCGCGUGCGCGAUGAAGGCCUUCGGG